This 488-nucleotide ribosomal RNA is filed under the name uncultured bacterium. RNAcentral describes it as "bacterial SSU rRNA". It matches the Rfam family "Bacterial small subunit ribosomal RNA", at positions 8 to 518 of the family's 1533-position model. The record is from RNAcentral.
AGAGUUUGAUUAUGGCUCAGGAUGAACGCUGGCAGAAUGCUUAACACAUGCAAGUCUACUUGAUCCUUCGGGUGAAGGUGGCGGACGGGUGAGUAACGCGUAAAGAACUUGCCUUACAGACUGGGACAACAUUUGGAAACGAAUGCUAAUACUGGAUAUUAUGAUUGGGUCGCAUGAUCUGGUUAUGAAAGCUAUAUGCGCUGUGAGAGAGCUUUGCGUCCCAUUAGUUAGUUGGUGAGGUAACGGCUCACCAAGACGAUGAUGGGUAGCCGGCCUGAGAGGGUGAACGGCCACAAGGGGACUGAGACACGGCCCUUACUCCUACGGGAGGCAGCAGUGGGGAAUAUUGGACAAUGGACCAAAAGUCUGAUCCAGCAAAUUCUGUGUGCACGAUGAAGUUUUUCGGAAUGUAAAGUGCUUUCAGUUGGGAAGAAGUCAGUGACGGUACCAACAGAAGAAGCGACGGCUAAAUACGUGCCAGCCGCUGC